UGGUUCAGUGGUAGAGUAAUGGCCUACAAAUCCAAAGGUUGUGGGUUCGUUUCCCGC
RNAcentral lists this transfer RNA (57 nucleotides) under Trichomalopsis sarcophagae. It matches the Rfam family "tRNA", at positions 8 to 63 of the family's 71-position model. From Rfam's summary of the family: Transfer RNA (tRNA) molecules are approximately 80 nucleotides in length. Their secondary structure includes four short double-helical elements and three loops (D, anti-codon, and T loops). Lineage: Eukaryota; Metazoa; Arthropoda; Insecta; Hymenoptera; Pteromalidae. The record is from Rfam by way of RNAcentral.